Molecule: ribosomal RNA, 567 nt
Filed under: uncultured Pezizomycotina
Lineage: Eukaryota; Fungi; Ascomycota
Description: eukaryotic LSU rRNA
Rfam family: 5.8S ribosomal RNA (bases 204-357)
Source: RNAcentral
CUUGGUCAUUUAGAGGAAGUAAAAGUCGUAACAAGGUUUCCGUAGGUGAACCAGCGGAGGGAUCAUUACCGAGUUACCAACUCCAAACCCUUGUGAUUUUCGUAUCUGUUGCUUCGGCAGGCGGGCCCAGGGCGGGCUCUGUCAUGCCUGCCGAAAGACCAAACUCUUCUAUCCUGCCCUCUGAAGAAAAGACAAAUAGUUAAAACUUUCAACAACGGAUCUCUUGGUUCUGGCAUCGAUGAAGAACGCAGCGAAAUGCGAUAAGUAAUGUGAAUUGCAGAAUUCAGUGAAUCAUCGAAUCUUUGAACGCACCUUGCGCCCCUUGGUAUUCCGAGGGGCAUGCCUGUUCGAGCGUCAUUUCAACCCUCAAGCACAGCUUGGUCUUGGGCUUCGCCGCUAACCCGGCGGGUCUUAAAAUCAGUGGCGGUGCCGUCGGGCCCUGAGCGCAGUAAUCUCUCUCGCUAUAGGGUCCCGGCGGAUGCUGGCCAGUAACCCCCAAUUUUCUAUGGUUGACCUCGGAUCAGGUAGGGAUACCCGCUGAACUUAAGCAUAUCAAUAAGCGGAGGA